GAUGAACGCUGGCGGCGUGCCUAAUACAUGCAAGUCGAGCGAACGGACCAGACGCUUGCUUUUCUGAUGUUAGCGGCGGACGGGUGAGUAACACGUGUAUAACCUACCUAUAAGACUGGUAUAACUUCGGGAAACCGGAGCUAAUCCCGGAUAAUAUUUUGAACCGCAUGGUUCAAAAGUGAAAGACGGUCUUGCUGUCACUUAUAGAUGGUUCCGCGCUGCAUUAGCUAGUUGGUAAGGUAACGGCUUACCAAGGCAACGAUGCAUAGCCGACCUGAGAGGGUGGUCGGCCACACUGGAACUGAGACACGGUCCAGACGCCUACGGGAGGCAGCAGUAGGGAAUCUUCCGCAAUGGGCGAAAGCCUGACGGAGCAACGCCGCGUGAGUGAUGAAGGUCUUCGGAUCGUAAAGCUCGGUUAUUAGGGAAGAACAUAUGUGUAAGUAACUGUGCACAGCUUGACGGUACCUAAUCAGAAAGCCACGGCUAACUACGUG
This 497-nucleotide ribosomal RNA is filed under the name uncultured bacterium. RNAcentral describes it as "partial 16S ribosomal RNA". It matches the Rfam family "Bacterial small subunit ribosomal RNA", at positions 28 to 507 of the family's 1533-position model. The record is from RNAcentral.